GGGCGAUUAGCUCAGAUGGUUAGAGCGUCCGGCUUACAUCCGGGAGGUCAGGGGUUCGAUUCCUCUAUCGCCCA
RNAcentral lists this transfer RNA (74 nucleotides) under Candidatus Omnitrophota bacterium. RNAcentral describes it as "tRNA-Val". It matches the Rfam family "tRNA". From Rfam's summary of the family: Transfer RNA (tRNA) molecules are approximately 80 nucleotides in length. Their secondary structure includes four short double-helical elements and three loops (D, anti-codon, and T loops). The record is from RNAcentral. Lineage: Bacteria; Pseudomonadati; Candidatus Omnitrophota.